Molecule: ribosomal RNA, 116 nt
Filed under: Pteropus alecto (black flying fox)
Lineage: Eukaryota; Metazoa; Chordata; Mammalia; Chiroptera; Pteropodidae
Also listed under: 1 other name
Source: RNAcentral
GUCUACGGCCAUGCCACCCUGAACAUGCCUGAUCUCAUCUGAUCUCAGAUAAGUUGAGUCGGGCCUGGUUAGUACUUGGAUGGAAGACGACCUAGGAAUACCAGGUGUUGUAGAUG